RNAcentral lists this ribosomal RNA (716 nucleotides) under uncultured bacterium. Its description in RNAcentral is "bacterial SSU rRNA". It matches the Rfam family "Bacterial small subunit ribosomal RNA", at positions 355 to 1064 of the family's 1533-position model. The record is from RNAcentral.
UGGGGAAUAUUGGACAAUGGGCGCAAGCCUGAUCCAGCCAUGCCGCGUGUGUGAAGAAGGCUCUAGGGUUGUAAAGCACUUUCAGUAGGGAGGAAAAGCUGGUAGUUAAUAACUGCCAGCCCUGACGUUACCUACAGAAGAAGCACCGGCAAACUCCGUGCCAGCAGCCGCGGUAAUACGGAGGGUGCAAGCGUUAAUCGGAAUUACUGGGCGUAAAGCGCGCGUAGGUGGCUUAUUAAGCAGGGUGUGAAAUCCCCGGGCUCAACCUGGGAACUGCAUUCUGAACUGGUAAGCUAGAGUAUAGUAGAGGGUGGCGGAAUUUCUGGUGUAGCAGUGAAAUGCGUAGAUAUCAGAAGGAACAUCAGUGGCGAAGGCGGCCACCUGGACUAAUACUGACACUGAGGUGCGAAAGCGUGGGUAGCGAACAGGAUUAGAUACCCUGGUAGUCCACGCCGUAAACGAUGUCAACUAGCCGUUGGGGGGAUUUCCCUUUAGUGGCGCAGCUAACGCGAUAAGUUGACCGCCUGGGGAGUACGGCCGCAAGGCUAAAACUCAAAUGAAUUGACGGGGGCCCGCACAAGCGGUGGAGCAUGUGGUUUAAUUCGAUGCAACGCGAAGAACCUUACCAAGACUUGACAUCCUGCGAACUUUCUAGAAAUAGAUUGGUGCCUUCGGGAACGCAGUGACAGGUGCUGCAUGGCUGUCGUCAGCUCGUG